AACGAACGCUGGCGGCAGGCCUAACACAUGCAAGUCGAACGAACCUUUCGGGGUCAGUGGCGGACGGGUGCGUAACGCGUGGGAAUCUGCCCUUCUCUUCGGAAUAGUCCUCGGAAACUGGUGGUAAUACCGUAUACUCUCUUUGGGGGAAAGAUUUAUCGGCUUAGGAUUAGCCCGCGUUGGAUUAGGUAGUUGGUAGGGUAAAAGCCUACCAAGCCGACGAUCCAUAGCUGGUCUGAGAGGAUGAUCAGCCACACUGGGACUGAGACACGGCCCAGACUCCUACGGGAGGCAGCAGUGGGGAAUAUUAGACAAUGGGGGAAAGCCUGAUCCAGCAAUGCCGCGUGAGUGAUGAAGGCCUUAGGGUUGUAAAGCUCUUUUAGCCGGGAAGAUAAUGACGGUACCAGGAGAAGAAGCUCCGGCUAACUCCGUG
RNAcentral lists this ribosomal RNA (433 nucleotides) under uncultured bacterium. RNAcentral's name for it is "partial 16S ribosomal RNA". It matches the Rfam family "Bacterial small subunit ribosomal RNA", at positions 29 to 507 of the family's 1533-position model. The record is from RNAcentral.